Non-coding RNA from Oncorhynchus mykiss (rainbow trout), 604 nucleotides. The record is from RefSeq and is a predicted model, not a curated record. Lineage: Eukaryota; Metazoa; Chordata; Actinopteri; Salmoniformes; Salmonidae.
GAAUGGGUCAGUGUCUCAGAGAGAGAGGCCAUUGAAUGGGUCAGUGUCUCAGAGAGAGAGGCCAUUGAACGGGUCAGUGUCUCAGAGAGAGAGGCCAUUCUGGGUAAAUGGAACGGGUCAGUGUCUCAGAGAGAGAGGCCAUUCUGGGUAAAUGGAACGGGUCAGUGUCUCAGAGAGAGAGGCCAUUCUGGGUAAAUGGAACGGGUCAGUGUCUCAGAGAGAGAGGCCAGUCUGGGUAAAUGGAAUGGGUCAGUGUCUCAGAGAGAGAGGCCAUUGAACGGGUCAGUGUCUCAGAGAGAGAGGCCAUUCUGGGUAAAUGGAAUGGGUCAGUGUCUCAGAGAGAGAGGCCAUUGAACGGGUCAGUGUCUCAGAGAGAGAGGCCAUUCUGGGUAAAUGGAAUGGGUCAGUGUCUCAGAGAGAGAGGCCAUUGAACAGGUCAGUGUCUCAGAGAGAGAGGCCAUUCUGGGUAAAUGGAAUGGGUCAGUGUCUCAGAGAGAGAGGCCAUUGAACGGGUCAGUGUCUCAGAGAGAGAGGCCAUUCUGGGUAAAUGGAAUGGGUCAGUGUCUCAGAGAGAGAGGCCAUUGAACGGGUCAGUGUCUCAGAG